AUGUCUCUUGCCUCGCUCGGUUUUCCGUUUUCCUCCUUCGGAUGAUCUUGAGCUGGAUGCCGCUGUACUUCUAUCAUCAGAAAGAGUGCAGAUCGGUAUGAGACGAGAGGAAAAGCAUUUCUUCGAAAUGCCCUCGACGAUCUUUGAGUACGAUUUUAUCCGCUGUUCUGCCACGGAUCUCAUCGUAAUUUAUAGUCGGGACAUUA
Molecule: small nucleolar RNA, 206 nt
Filed under: Aspergillus aculeatus ATCC 16872
Lineage: Eukaryota; Fungi; Ascomycota; Eurotiomycetes; Eurotiales; Aspergillaceae
Source: RNAcentral